GGGUUUUCACAUUUGCCUCUCCUUUUUCUUUUUUUCUUUUUUUUUAUGACUCAAAGCGCCCUUUUGCGAGUUUUCACCUUAGUCUCUUUUUUUUAUGACUCAAUGCGCCCUUUGUGGGUUUUCAUCUUGGUCCAUUUUCCUUCUUUAGGUGAAGUAUUUCUUGACUGAAUCUGAAUUUACAGGAUUUGAAUGAUUUUUACCAUCCAUCUCACUCAAAAUCAAUGCUCCACUGGAAAAGGCCUUCUUUACAACAUAAGGUCUUUCCCAAUUUUGCAUCCAUU
RNAcentral lists this long non-coding RNA (281 nucleotides) under Gossypium raimondii (Peruvian cotton). RNAcentral's name for it is "long non-coding RNA (GRAI_LNC001959)". The record is from RNAcentral. Lineage: Eukaryota; Viridiplantae; Streptophyta; Magnoliopsida; Malvales; Malvaceae.